This 253-nucleotide ribosomal RNA is filed under the name uncultured bacterium. RNAcentral's name for it is "partial 16S ribosomal RNA". It matches the Rfam family "Bacterial small subunit ribosomal RNA", at positions 524 to 776 of the family's 1533-position model. The record is from RNAcentral.
UACGUAGGGGGCUAGCGUUGUCCGGAAUUAUUGGGCGUAAAGAGCUCGUAGGCGGUUCGUCGCGUCGGCUGUGAAAACCCGGAGCUCAACUCCGGGCCUGCAGUCGAUACGGGCGGACUUGAGUGUUGCAGGGGAGACUGGAAUUCCUGGUGUAGCAGUGAAAUGCGUAGAUAUCUGGAGGAACACCGGUGGCGAAGGCGGCAUCCUGGACCAACACUGACGCUGAUGAGCGAAAGCCAGGGGAGCAAACGGG